RNAcentral lists this ribosomal RNA (253 nucleotides) under uncultured bacterium. RNAcentral describes it as "partial 16S ribosomal RNA". It matches the Rfam family "Bacterial small subunit ribosomal RNA", at positions 524 to 776 of the family's 1533-position model. The record is from RNAcentral.
GACGAAGGGGGCUAGCGUUGUUCGGAAUUACUGGGCGUAAAGCGCGUGUAGGCGGUUGUCCAAGUUGGAUGUGAAAGCCUUGAGCUUAACUCAAGAAAUGCAUUCAGGACUGGAUGACUAGAGGACCGGAGAGGAUAGUGGAAUUCCCAGUGUAGUGGUGAAAUACGUAGAGAUUGGGAAGAACACCAGUGGCGAAGGCGGCUAUCUGGACGGUUUCUGACGCUAAGACGCGAAAGCGUGGGGAGCGAACGGG